UUGAACGCUGGCGGCAGGCUUAACACAUGCAAGUCGAGCGGAGAUGAGGUGCUUGCACCUUAUCUUAGCGGCGGACGGGUGAGUAAUGCUUAGGAAUCUGCCUAUUAGUGGGGGACAACAUUCCGAAAGGAAUGCUAAUACCGCAUACGUCCUACGGGAGAAAGCAGGGGAUCUUCGGACCUUGCGCUAAUAGAUGAGCCUAAGUCGGAUUAGCUAGUUGGUGGGGUAAAGGCCUACCAAGGCGACGAUCUGUAGCGGGUCUGAGAGGAUGAUCCGCCACACUGGGACUGAGACACGGCCCAGACUCCUACGGGAGGCAGCAGUGGGGAAUAUUGGACAAUGGGGGAAACCCUGAUCCAGCCAUGCCGCGUGUGUGAAGAAGGCCUUAUGGUUGUAAAGCACUUUAAGCGAGGAGGAGGCUACUGAGACUAAUACUCUUGGAUAGUGGACGUUACUCGCAGAAUAAGCACCGGCUAACUCUGUGCCAGCAGCCGCGGUAAUACAGAGGGUGCGAGCGUUAAUCGGAUUUACUGGGCGUAAAGCGUGCGUAGGCGGCUUUUUAAGUCGGAUGUGAAAUCCCCGA
Molecule: ribosomal RNA, 583 nt
Filed under: uncultured bacterium
Lineage: Bacteria
Description: bacterial SSU rRNA
Rfam family: Bacterial small subunit ribosomal RNA
Source: RNAcentral